UACAGAGGUCCCGAGCGUUGUUCGGAUUCAUUGGGCGUAAAGGGUGCGUAGGCGGCUGGGUAAGUUUGAUGUGAAAUCCUGGGGCUCAACCCUGGAACUGCAUUGAAUACUGCUCGGCUAGAGUACUGGAGAGGAAACUGGAAUUCACGGUGUAGCAGUGAAAUGCGUAGAGAUCGGGAGGAACACCGGUGGCGAAGGCGGUUCUCUGGGCCUGUACUGACGCUGAGGAGCGAAAGCGUGGGGAGCGAACAGG
Molecule: ribosomal RNA, 253 nt
Filed under: uncultured bacterium
Lineage: Bacteria
Description: partial 16S ribosomal RNA
Rfam family: Bacterial small subunit ribosomal RNA
Source: RNAcentral